Molecule: long non-coding RNA, 1221 nt
Filed under: Gallus gallus (chicken)
Lineage: Eukaryota; Metazoa; Chordata; Aves; Galliformes; Phasianidae
Source: RNAcentral
GAGAGCUGCCGGCGCCUUUGGUGACCAGGCUGGCGUUGUGCUGGGCGACCUCCCCGUAAGCGGGGCUCGGGUCUUUGCUGUAGUUGGCCUUUUGCCUUGCUGCUCCUUUGGCUGCCUGGGGAGCGUGGCCCCCUGUAACGGAGGGCGAGAGCCACCUCUCCGCACCUGAGUGGGAAAUGGAGCUCGCCGGACCCCAAGGCCACCCUGUAAGCAGGGUAGUGCCGUUUCCCUGCCCCUCUUCCUCCCCCGGCCCCUCGGCAUCGUUGCCUGAUGGUGGCUUGUCAAUGCGACGGCCCCGUACUCGGGGUGUGUGUCCCAAGCUUCGGAGCCCUCUGUCCCUGAGCAGCCCGCCCGCCCUGUAAUCAGGUGUGGGGAGGCUGCAGCGUUGCAGCCGGCUGCUUUAGCCAUCCAGCUGGUGGGAGUGACCCCUCCCUGUCCCGUCAGAGGGUGCAGGUUGAGGUGCUGUUUGUGUGUGGGGUGACCUCCCCGCUCGGUGGGUCGAGGUAGCUCCCUGGGCUUCCAAAGACGAGACGUUGGUGAUGUUCUGGUGCUGCCGGGCGGGCCAGCCUGUAACUCAGGCGUUGGCGGGAGCCUCGUGCUCCGCGGGGCUUCUUGAAGAGGGUGAGGUGUGGGGGUACCGUCCUGUAGGCAGGGCUGUGUGUGCCCCCCGUGUGUGCUUGGUGAGCUGCGUUCUGAGAGACCCCCUGUACUCAGGUGGGAAUGUGGCCCCGGCCUUUCAGAGGCGCGGGGCCGUGAGAUGCGGGGUGGGGCUUGCGCCCUCCCUGGAAUCGGGGCUGGGAUCCCGACUGCGGCCUUUGGCCGUGCCGCCCCGCUGCCUGGCUGCUGAGAGUUGCUCCUGCCGCUGGGGGGGAAACCGAGCUCUGUGGCUCCAGGGGUGUUGUCCACCCGCCUGUAAUCAGGGUCUGGGUGCGUGAGCGUUUGUGCUCUGCUGGCAGCCUGUGUGGGGUGACCGCCCCGCUAGCGGGGUGUGGGUCGAGGUGCCCCGGACUGGGAGAGAAGGAGCCUCCCUCGGCCGUAGGGAUGGGGGCUGCCCUGUAAGUCAGGGAGCAUCUGUGUCCCGGAGUCCCAGGCCCUUUUCGAUGGCGGCAGUGGCCGGGGGUCCCCUGUAAGCAGGGAAGCUGACUCUUUGGCUGCUGCUUUUUGUGUGCCCAGCCCCAUUUGCCCAGUCUGCCCGCCUCUGUGAUCCCCCGCAGCACUGGC